GUGGAAGGUUACAAAGCCAAGUGAACUCAUGAUGACUAUGAUGGGGCUGGAAGCUCUAAUUACGAACCUUGCCCAAAAAGGAUUGAAAGAGUCACAAAAUUUAUGGCUCAGGGUAACUCUAACUGUGAGGAGUCAAGUGAGAACAAGGAAUGUGCUGAAGAGCUAGGUGAUUGAAGGUUAAUCAACUUUUUUCUCUGCAUGGAUGAAGAGCUGGACGAAGGGAGGGAGUUUUGGGGAUCUUAAAGCACUUCUCAUUGUCCUUUUUCUCUAUUUUAUGGUAUAUUUGGACUUGUAGGAACAAGGAAAACCAUAAAGAAAGAGCCUUUCUUUGCCAUUAAUGUGGUCUUGUAUUGUAAAAGUUUAAUUUCAAUGUGCUGGGUAACUUAUAGUUCAAAAAACAAAGAAAAGUCUUGAUAGUAGUAGGAUAAGCAAGUGUAGACCUUUAGAGAGAAGGAAAUGCAGGGGAUCCAAGCUUCUUUUGAAAAAAUAGAGAAGGUGGAUGGAUUCCUUGCAAAGUCUUGAUCCCUAGCAACCCUUGCCCCUAAAUUCUUUAUGAACAUUAGCUUGGAUAACAUGCAGUAAACUUUGAAUCUUAUACACUUUUAUGCUUGUGCUGUU
Molecule: long non-coding RNA, 618 nt
Organism: Quercus robur (English oak)
Lineage: Eukaryota; Viridiplantae; Streptophyta; Magnoliopsida; Fagales; Fagaceae
Exons: 3
Source: RefSeq, a predicted model, not a curated record